GCCCGCAUAGUUUAACGGUCAGAACAUAGGUCUCAUAUAACUUGACUAAGUCAUGAGACUUGGAUAUCCUAAGAUCUGAGUUCGAGUAAGGCUUCACUGCUUGCC
This is a non-coding RNA of Friedmanniomyces endolithicus, 105 nucleotides long. NCBI's taxonomy places the organism in Eukaryota, Fungi, Ascomycota, Dothideomycetes, Mycosphaerellales, Teratosphaeriaceae. The record is from the annotation of a GenBank genome assembly.